This 496-nucleotide ribosomal RNA is filed under the name uncultured bacterium. RNAcentral describes it as "partial 16S ribosomal RNA". It matches the Rfam family "Bacterial small subunit ribosomal RNA", at positions 28 to 506 of the family's 1533-position model. The record is from RNAcentral.
GAUGAACGCUGGCGGCGUGCCUAAUACAUGCAAGUCGAGCGAACAGAUAAGGAGCUUGCUCCUUUGACGUUAGCGGCGGACGGGUGAGUAACACGUGGGUAACCUACCUAUAAGACUGGAAUAACUCCGGGAAACCGGGGCUAAUGCCGGAUAACAUUUAGAACCGCAUGGUUCUAAAGUGAAAGAUGGUUUUGCUAUCACUUAUAGAUGGACCCGCGCCGUAUUAGCUAGUUGGUAAGGUAACGGCUUACCAAGGCAACGAUACGUAGCCGACCUGAGAGGGUAGACGGCCACACUGAAACUAGAAACCGGCCCGAACCCCCAGGGGGGGCAGCAGGGGGAAAUUUUCCGAAAUGGGGGAAAGCCUGAGGGGGCAACCCCGCGGGAGUAAUAAGGUUUUUCGAAUCGUAAACCCUUUUUUUUGGGAAAAAAAAAAGGUUAAAGAAAUGGGGCCCGUUUUGCCGGUACCAAAUCAAAAAGCCAGGCCAAACUCCGG